Molecule: non-coding RNA, 75 nt
Organism: Streptomyces sp. NBRC 110611
Lineage: Bacteria; Bacillati; Actinomycetota; Actinomycetes; Kitasatosporales; Streptomycetaceae
Source: Rfam
CUUCACCGAACCCAACAGCAACGGCCGACCCCCCGACCGACCCUGACCAUAGGUGGCGAGCAGGGCCUGGGCCUC